This 225-nucleotide unclassified non-coding RNA is filed under the name uncultured Tomentella. RNAcentral's name for it is "sequence contains ITS2". The record is from RNAcentral. Lineage: Eukaryota; Fungi; Basidiomycota; Agaricomycetes; Thelephorales; Thelephoraceae.
ACACCUCAACUCUUCAUGGUUUUCCAUGAUGAGUUUGGACUUUGGGGGUUUUGCUGGCCUAUGGUCAGCUCCUCUAAAAUAAAUCAGCUUGCCAGUGUUUGGUGGGUAUCAUAGGUGUGAUAACUAACUAUCUACGCUUGUGGUUCUUCCACCAGGUAACCUUCAGCAAUGGAGGUUCACUGGAGCUCAUAGACGUCUCUCCUCAGUGAGGACAGCCCUUUGAAU